RNAcentral lists this ribosomal RNA (497 nucleotides) under uncultured bacterium. Its description in RNAcentral is "partial 16S ribosomal RNA". It matches the Rfam family "Bacterial small subunit ribosomal RNA", at positions 28 to 507 of the family's 1533-position model. The record is from RNAcentral.
GAUGAACGCUGGCGGCGUGCCUAAUACAUGCCAGUCGAGCGAACGGACGAGAAGCUUGCUUCUCUGAUGUUAGCGGCGGACGGGUGAGUAACACGUGGAUAACCUACCUAUAAGACUGGGAUAACUUCGGGAAACCGUAGCUAAUACCGGAUAAUAUUUUGAACCGCAUGGUUCAAAAGUGAAAGACGGUCUUGCUGUCACUUAUAGAUGGAUCCGCGCUGCAUUAGCUAGUUGGUAAGGUAACGGCUUACCAAGGCAACGAUGCAUAGCCGACCUGAGAGGGUGAUCGGCCACACUGGAACUGAGACACGGUCCAGACUCCUACGGGAGGCAGCAGUAGGGAAUCUUCCGCAAUGGGCGAAAGCCUGACGGAGCAACGCCGCGUGAGUGAUGAAGGUCUUCGUAUCGUAAAACUCUGUUAUUAGGGAAGAACAUAUGUGUAAGUAACUGUGCACAUCUUGACGGUACCUAAUCAGAAAGCCACGGCUAACUACGUG